UUCGCCAUGUUGCCCAGGCUGGUCUUGAACUCCUGGGCUCAAGCAAUCCUCCUGCCUUGGCCUCCCAAAGUGCUGGGAUUAUAGGCAUGAGCCACCACACCUGACCUUGGAUGGAAAUCUCUAGAACUGUAUUACAUGCUUCCUUGUAUUCAUAAGUAGAAUAUAUGGGAUAUAGUGUGUCUCUGCCACUGAUCUGAGGUCAUUUGCUAUGAUUGGUGGUACCUGGAGAUGACCAUGAGAUGCUCUUGCCCUCAAGAACCAGGAAGCAGAUCACAUCACAGUCUGCUCCACUGUGCUCCCUCCACUGUCCCUGACCCAUCGCCAGCUCCUACCGUCACCCGUGAGGUCCAAUAUGGUGUCGUCCUCCCCUCGAUCGUCAGAAACCAUCGCUCUGUAAAUCCCCUUGUCCUUUUUGGACAACUGGAAAGAAGGAUGAGCGAUGGUGGUGUCAGCAUGGGCUUCAGAAGGAGAGAUGGCUACCAAAUCAGGAGGCCUGGGCUCCAGGCCUGCCCCUCACUCUCUGUGUGACCUCAGGUAACAAGACCCUUCUCCUCCCUGGGCCUCCGUUUACUUAUCUGGACUGGGUGAGCUCUAAGGCUCCUUUCAGCUCCAGAGCCCUUGGAUUCCUAGCUCGGGGAUUGUCUGGGCCUGGGGAAGGGGUGGAGUAGGGGGAGUUGAGGGCAGAACCAGACACCUUCAUUUGCAUUCACAGGCGGCUGAUCUGAGCACAACACAGUGAGCCUCACUUUGCAGAGCUUGUCUGGGCCUGGCCCACCUUUCACUCCCUGGGGGCUCCUGGAUGGAGGGACCCCCACCACCUGCAGUUCCCCAAGAGGAAGCAUGUUUUCUCCUGCCCAGGACAAGGGGGUUCUCUUGGCCCAUGUUUUUCAGCCCCAAAUUAAGUCUGAACAAACACUCAGCAAAGCAAGAACCUGAGUUGUGCUUUAAAGGCAAGGUCCAGAGAUCAGGAGUGACCUCUCAUUACACAGCACCUUCCUUCAGCCCCUCAUCUCUCAAUACUUCCCAGCAGGACCAUCUCCACACAGUGGGUUUGGGGCAGGAUCCAAGACAGAGGCAGCUCUUAACCUGAGGAUUGAGGUGCUGAGCCCCCAAAAUCCUCUCUUAUGUCCUCACCAUCCCAGGAAGGCUCCAAGGUCUCAGCCAAACCCAGAGUGGGUGUCUGGAGUGGCUUCUGACCCCACCCUCUAGCCUUAUGUCUUUACACUGAAACUCUCUGAGCCUCAGUUUACUCAUCAGUAAAAUCACGGUAUCAUCCUUGCCCUGCCUGUGUGCUACAGCUGCUGUGGGGAUCAAGGGAGGUAACUCUUAGGAGGCCAGAAACUUUGCACCAAUGGGACUGAUGAUUAUACUAAAACUCCGUAACGAUGAAGCACCUACUUGGUGCCACAGCCUGUCUGAGGAGCUUGCACAGUGGUGGCAAAGGCUGACUUGGCAUCAGCCUGGCCAGGAUUUGGGAGAAGACCUUGAAAUCAUUGUUUUCUUCCUAGUCAGCAAACCUCUGUUUGCUCCAGUCCUCCUGGGCACCCAGUGAGGCCACAGACAUCAGCAGCAGGGCAGAAAAAGGUUGACGUUUAAGAGUAAGCCUUGUGUUUCUCUCUUAACCAGGCCACGGUCCGCCAAAGGCCAUAGGGGAGGACAUGGGGGGAGAACUGAGCUCCAGGCCUGCUUUAUUCAGCCCAGAUCUGCCUCACCUGGAGACAUCCUUCCUGUCCCGAAUCCCAGACUGCUGGGGCAGGAAGGAGGUGUUGAGAGAGCAUCCCUUCCAACUCGCUCAGGUUGCAGAUGAAAGCUGAGGUCAGAGAGGGACAGGGGCUAGCCCAAGCCUGCAUAGUCAUUGGCAGGGCCAGUACUGGAGCUAAAGAAGAAAAUCAGUAAUACUGAUUCUGUCUCUAUUGAAAGUUUGGGGGUUUUAAUAGUUUUUGUUUGCAUUAAUUUUGAUUUUUUAGAACAUUGCAUACAAUAUUAUUUAUCUUGAUUACUGAGUUUUUUUGGUGCCCCUUAAAUUUUGUGCUCAGGGCUUCACUUGCAUCAACCUAGCUUCGGCCCUGCCUCUGACACCCAGCCCAGAGCCCUCCCUGGCUUGCAGCCAAAGGAGAAAGUGAGCCCUGAAGCUGGAGCCACACUUGCCUCUUCGAUGCAGAGAAGUCCCGUUCCCGUCUCUGGGUCAUACUGACCAUCUGGCAUCUCUGCCCUCUGGAAGAACCACUGAAAGCGAGUCUCCUUCUUGGUGUUUGUCACCUGGGGAAGGUGGGGAAUGAGGAGACUGUCGGGCUUGUUUCUUUUUGAGUAAAAACACACCUGUGCACACCUUCA
Piliocolobus tephrosceles (Ugandan red Colobus) is the source of this 2334-nucleotide long non-coding RNA. RefSeq lists it as uncharacterized. NCBI's taxonomy places the organism in Eukaryota, Metazoa, Chordata, Mammalia, Primates, Cercopithecidae. The transcript is spliced from 2 exons. The record is from RefSeq and is a predicted model, not a curated record.